GGGGAGUUGCCCGAGCGGCCAAAGGGGACAGACUGUAAAUCUGUUGGCUUAACGCCUUCAUUGGUUCAAAUCCAAUACUCCCCA
This 84-nucleotide transfer RNA is filed under the name Candidatus Taenariivivens baikalensis. RNAcentral's name for it is "tRNA-Tyr". It matches the Rfam family "tRNA". From Rfam's summary of the family: Transfer RNA (tRNA) molecules are approximately 80 nucleotides in length. Their secondary structure includes four short double-helical elements and three loops (D, anti-codon, and T loops). The record is from RNAcentral. Lineage: Bacteria; Pseudomonadati; Candidatus Omnitrophota.